CGCAGAGGGUUCUGAUAACAAAGAACCUAGAUAGCCGCAUCGGUAUUAUAGGAUGUAGUCGGUGAGCCGGAAUGCCUGCAUCGUAAGCCUAUAAGUAAAUCCCACAG
RNAcentral lists this non-coding RNA (107 nucleotides) under unclassified sequences. RNAcentral's name for it is "cow-rumen-2 RNA". It matches the Rfam family "cow-rumen-2 RNA". Rfam says of the family: cow rumen metagenome. Environment (Cow rumen (57)) The record is from Rfam by way of RNAcentral.